AGUGAACGCUGGCGGUAGGCCUAACACAUGCAAGUCGAACGGCAGCACAGUAAGAGCUUGCUCUUACGGGUGGCGAGUGGCGGACGGGUGAUGAAUACAUCGGAAUCUACUUUUUCGUGGGGGGUAACGUAGGGAAACUUACGCUAAUACCGCAUACGACCUACGGGUGAAAGCAGGGGAUCUUCGGACCUUGCGCGAUUGAAUGAGCCGAUGUCGGAUUAGCUAGUUGGCGGGGUAAAGGCCCACCAAGGCGACGAUCCGUAGCUGGUCUGAGAGGAUGAUCAGCCACACUGGCACUGAGACACGGUCCAGACUCCUACGGGAGGCAGCAGUGGGGAAUAUUGGACAAUGGGCGCAAGCCUGAUCCAGCCAUACCGCGUGGGUGCAGAAGGCCUUCGGGUUGUAAAGCCCUUUUGUUGGGAAAGAAAAGCAGCAGGUUAAUACCCCGCUGUUCUGACGGUACCCAAAGAAUAAGCACCGGCUAACUUCGUG
This 492-nucleotide ribosomal RNA is filed under the name uncultured bacterium. RNAcentral describes it as "partial 16S ribosomal RNA". It matches the Rfam family "Bacterial small subunit ribosomal RNA", at positions 29 to 507 of the family's 1533-position model. The record is from RNAcentral.